GACAGAGGUGCCAAGCGUUAGGCGGAAUCACUGGGCUUAAAGCGUGUGUAGGCGGAUCGUUAAGUGCUUUGUGGAAUCCCACAGCUCAACUGUGGAACUGCUUGGCAUACUGGCGAUCUUGAGCCAUCUAGGGGUUGCUGGAACAAACGGUGGAGCGGUGAAAUGCGUAGAUAUCGUUUGGAACGCCAAUGGUGAAAACAGGCAACUGGGGAUGUGCUGACGCUGAGACACGAAAGCCAGGGGAGCAAACGGG
Molecule: ribosomal RNA, 253 nt
Filed under: uncultured bacterium
Lineage: Bacteria
Description: partial 16S ribosomal RNA
Rfam family: Bacterial small subunit ribosomal RNA
Source: RNAcentral